RNAcentral lists this ribosomal RNA (214 nucleotides) under uncultured bacterium. RNAcentral describes it as "partial 16S ribosomal RNA". It matches the Rfam family "Bacterial small subunit ribosomal RNA", at positions 524 to 734 of the family's 1533-position model. The record is from RNAcentral.
UACGAAGGGGGCUAGCGUUGCUCGGAAUCACUGGGCGUAAAGCGCACGUAGGCGGAUUGCUAAGUCAGGGGUGAAAUCCUGGAGCUCAACUCCAGAACUGCCUUUGAUACUGGCGAUCUCGAGUCCGGGAGAGGUGGAGUGGAACUGCGAGUGUAGAGGUGAAAUUCGUAGAUAUUCGCAAGAACACCAGUGGCGAAGGCGGACUCGACUGGCC